UCCGUAGCUAAUUUAGCUACGGAAAUGAAAAUCCGUAGCUAAAUUUAGCUACGGAAAGAAAAUCCGUAGCUUAAUUAGCUACGGAUUUUGAAUUCCGUAGCUAAAUUAGCUACGGAUUUUCAUUU
This is a small nucleolar RNA of Beta vulgaris subsp. vulgaris (sugar beet), 125 nucleotides long. RefSeq annotates it as small nucleolar RNA SNORA69. NCBI's taxonomy places the organism in Eukaryota, Viridiplantae, Streptophyta, Magnoliopsida, Caryophyllales, Amaranthaceae. The record is from RefSeq and is a predicted model, not a curated record. The transcript has a single exon.